UGGGGAAUAUUGGACAAUGGGCGAAAGCCUGAUCCAGCCAUGCCGCGUGUGUGAAGAAGGUCUUCGGAUUGUAAAGCACUUUAAGUUGGGAGGAAGGGCAGUUACCUAAUACGUAUCUGUUUUGACGUUACCGACAGAAUAAGCACCGGCUAACUCUGUGCCAGCAGCCGCGGUAAUACAGAGGGUGCAAGCGUUAAUCGGAAUUACUGGGCGUAAAGCGCGCGUAGGUGGUUUGUUAAGUUGGAUGUGAAAUCCCCGGGCUCAACCUGGGAACUGCAUUCAAAACUGACAAGCUAGAGUAUGGUAGAGGGUGGUGGAAUUUCCUGUGUAGCGGUGAAAUGCGUAGAUAUAGGAAGGAACACCAGUGGCGAAGGCGACCGCCUGGACUGAUACUGACACUGAGGUGCGAAAGCGUGGGGAGCAAACAGGAUUAGAUACCCAAGUAGUCCCUGAGCGGGCUGGCAAGGCGCAU
This 472-nucleotide ribosomal RNA is filed under the name uncultured bacterium. Its description in RNAcentral is "bacterial SSU rRNA". It matches the Rfam family "Bacterial small subunit ribosomal RNA", at positions 355 to 825 of the family's 1533-position model. The record is from RNAcentral.